GGAGGAGCAGCCGCAGCAGCCGGCGGUGCUACCUCAUCCACCAUGCUUUGCGCUGCCAUCCAUCUACAAGGUGAACAGGGAAAGAAGUCCAUAUAACCCCCUAAAGUUUCACAAACCGAUCAGUUUACCCCCCAAGGUCUAAAACGAGGUAUUUAACCCCCCAAGCUUUCCCAAACCAUGUGAAUUAUCCCCUAACCCUGAUUAGAGUGGUUUUGAAGGCGGUUUUGGCCCUCAUCCAAGCACGAGCCAGCAUCAUACAACUUGGGCGCAAUGCGUCAAUGCCUAAUAUUAAUUAGCAGUAGCUCGCCGAGUCACAAUCUUCUAGCUUCGUGAACUUCCCAGUCUCCAGGUCACCAUGCAGGCUUCACGAAGCUAGCAAUGUCUUCCACCCUCGCCAGACUUGAAAGACAUUCCUUCGGCCAGGCGAAGAUUGCAUCGCCGAAGCUACUUCUCCGGCCUAGCGCAUGCCGCCGGGGCUCACGGGAUCGGUCUAGCCGUCUGCACCGUUGGGCUCCUGCUGUGCGGAUGCGGCAGCCGCACCGGCGUGCAGCGCAACCAGCCAACAGACGCAAGUUCUGGCUUUAGCGACCCCUUGCUGUACGCACCGAUCAUGUGCGUCAAGGCUUUGUACUCAAGCUCUCCGUGGCAAAUAGGUGGAGCGGUCGAGGUAGUCGACAAGCAAGGCAUUGGCGCCGGAAGCGGCAAGGAGCCGGAGCGUCGCUCAUGAGACGCACCUUAUUUCUAGAACCCUCUUCCGGAUACAAUAUGCACAUACAGUCCUACUGGAUUGAUUCCAGGACAAGCAGUCAUGUACACGCAAGAAGUACGUACCACUAUGUCUGAGGCAGGUCAGACUAAUAUAAUCGUGAUUAGCUCUAACAGUGGACAUAGUUAUCUGCCGGCAGAAGCCACAGGCUGCUCAUGGCGCGAGCUUGAUGAGUUAUUGUCAACGGAGGAAGAAGCAGACGCGGCCGGCGAGAGCGCUACUGAGGCAACUACGGCACACGAGGGACGCGAUGGAAAACUGAGUUUGCAUCAAGCAAGAACACAGCCCUCGUGCCAGGGUGGAGAUGGCGUGCCACAUCACCAGAACCGCUUGCAAAACCACUCCAAUCAGUGUCAGGGGAUGAUUCGCAUGGUUUAGGAAAGCUCAGGGGGUUAAAUACCCGGUUUUAGAUCUCAGGGGGUAAAUUAGCCAGCUCGUGAAACGCCAGGGGGUCAUGUGGACUUCUUUCGGUGAACAGGAGAGGUGGAUUAUGAGGCACCAUCUUGGUUCUUGGGGCCGUCAGAUCCGGACUAUGCGCCUCCACUGGUCCAAGUCUGCCUUCUCCUCCAUCUAUACUACUAUUAAACAAUCAAAUUAGUAUUUCUUUAAGCACACCUCACAAAGCGUACACAGAUCCAAUACCACCGCACGAUUAGGCCCACAAAAUCAAUCUAACGGUUAACCUUAACCUAAACCAUUUUCUGUGUGCACUUAGCAAUUUACAUUGACUGACCGUACUCCACCGUGGAGGAAAAUAUGAAACUCCACGCCUGAGCAAUUAGGAAACUAAUAAUCACAGGUGCAUCCUAUUCUAAAAAACUAAAUCAGAGUGCAUCCAUCCUAUUAGGAAACUAAUCUCAGACAAAUCCAUCCUAUUAAAAAACUUAUCUCGGACGCAUCCAUCUUAUUAGGAAGCUAAUCGCGAACCGCCUACCGCCAUCAUGCAUGCUAGACACGAUGGGGGAAGCGCGAGGAGCUUCGUCUUCCUUCGGGAACACGCGUGCUAUCGCCGCCAUCGUCUUCUACCUGGAGGCCAGGCGCUCUUCUGCCGCUACUGCGACGACUCCAUCCACGUCUAGGGCAUGCUCUCCGGCAACCAUCGGCAUCCGCAUUGACUUCAGCUCCGUUCGCAGCACCCACGCCGACAAAGUGUCUGUUCAGUGGAUGCACGUGCAUUACAUAUUAAUCUAUACUUCUAUACUACUAUUAAACAAUCAAACAAGAACUUCUUUAAGCACACCCCACAAAGCGUACACAGAUCCAAUACCACCGCACGAUUAGACCCACUAAAAUCAAUCUAACGGUUAGCCUUAACCUAAACCAUUUUCUGUGUGCACUUAGCAAUUUACAUUGACUGACCGUACUCCACCGUGGAGGAAAAUAUGAAACUCCAUGCCUGAGCAAUUAGGAAACUAAUAAUCACUGGUGCAUCCUAUUCUAGGAAACUAAUCUCAGACAAAUCCAUCCUAUUAGGAAACUAAUCUCAGACAAAUCGAUCCUAUUAAAAAACUUAUCUCAGAUGCAUCCAUCCUAUUAGGAAGCUAAUGGCGAGCCACUUGCCGCCAUCAUGCAUGCUAGCCACGAUGGGGGAAGCAUGAGGAGCUUCAUCUUCCUCCGGGAACACACGUGCUAUCGCCGCCAUCGUCUUCUGCCUGGAGGCCAGGCGCUCUUUUGCCGCUACUACGACGACUCCAUCCACGUCCAGGGUAAGCUCUCCAGCAACCAUCGACAUCCGCGUUGACUUCAGCUCCGUUCGCAGCACCCACGCCGACAAAGUGUCUGUUCAGUGGGUGCACAUGCAUUAAAUAUUAAAUAAGAAUCAUGGGGCUUCAAGCAAUCUGGAAUUAUAGAUUUGGAAUUAUCUUAGGUUCCCGAUUGCUGUACUGAAAAUGUGGCACGUACAUAAGAAUGCAGCAAUCUUGUCUUACAAAAUAGGAUCAAGAGGGAUACUGAAGAAGUCAAGAUGCAGAGUCUAUUUCCCAUGAUUACUUCUCAUGUUCAUGUCGGCUUCCUUGGGCUUUACUUCGUACCACCAUAUGUAUUAAACUGGGCCGUAUCAAGAGGUAACGACAUCCCCUCGAUUAGAAUUGCCUUAUUUAUGCUAUUUGAUCAGUGUGUGUUUUACGUAUGACGUUGCUUUACCUAGAAUUAAGGUGGGUUGCACCUGCCUAGGCACUAUCUCCAGGGAUAGGUUGGAAAUCAGAAUAUAUGAUUCAUUCUUAGAGAAAAUUUUACACACAUCACUUUAACAUAAUUGCAUAGCAAUCCAGUACAUUAUGUAAGAUUCAGUAGGAGGCAAGAUAUUGAAGAUGUACUACUAUUUCAGUUACAUGAUUCUAUACAUCUAAAACGGGUCACAUGACUCUAUAGCUGUUGUUAGAGAAUAUCUCUCGCUGUUCUGUAAAGGUAUGCAAUCUCUACUGCGUUCCAAUAAAGAGAAUUUUACCAUACAAAAGGAUCCAAUGAAGAAACUAAUCCGGAUGAGUUCCAAUAAAUAGAUCCUUCAAAAGAUCUGUCCUAAUACAACUGCCGUAUAUUAGUACAAAGAAAUCAUAUAAAUUGUACUUGAUCAGAUUUAUUUUGUUUCAUGACAGAGAAACCAAAUACCUUUCGCUAUUUUGGCACAUAUAUUUAUUCUUAUAUACUUGUGCAAUUUCGAAUGAUCCAACAUAUCUGCAGUCAUCAAACUUGAAGACAUGUUGUUUAAGGCCUUAUUUGCACCACCUCUCUUUCUUUGUCUGCGCACCUCUUUCCUCCAAUAAUAAUCGCACCUCUUUCCUCCAAUAAUAAUAAUGAACAACUUUUUCCAUAUCAGGUAUUACACUGUUACAAAUGUAUAUUGAAGCUACUCCUUACGACAAGGAAAAAGAGGAUGAAUGCUUUCUAUCUUCAUCAGUUUUGUAGCAUGUUCCAAAUUGUUGUCUCUUUCUUAUUUAAGGAUUCAUCAUUUUUUUGUAAUUUAGAAGCUGACUUGAAAGCUUGAUAAGGUUAAGCUUGACAAAUACUCUAGAAUACUUUUCCUUCCAUCUUUAUUUUUUUUCAUAACUCAUUUCAGUUUCUAUACGUACAAAGCGUCUUACAUCAUUGUAAGUUAGUAUGGUUGCCAACGCAUAAACACAUACAAACCCGGAUAAAUAUUUUCUAUCAUGAUAAUUAUUGGAUUUCUUUUAGCCCUUUUACAUUUCAAUUAGUUCUUGUAAAUCAUCUUUAUUUCAUAUAGAAGUCGUUGUAGUCACAUAUCAUCUUCUAUUUCCUAUUAUCCAUAGUAGGUAGCUAUAUAAUUUUGGCAGUCCACACAACCAAAAAAUAUAUAUAAUUUGAUCCAAAUUAGUACAAAUAUAUAUUUUUCUAUGCAGAUUAGUAGAAUAAAAUAAGAUUCAAGAAUUAAGCAUCUUGAACAAUAUAAUUGCACCGUAAGGCAGUUUAUACUUUUUUUCCUGGCUACACUCGAAGAGAAGACUAUACUACAUGCCUAUAUUACUGGAUUAAUAAAUAAUUGCUGAUUUUAUUUAAAUGAGAAUAUUUUCCUGUUAUUAAUCUAUGUAGCAACAUAACCACUAUUGUGUCUCGCUUUUGAAAAUACAAUUUGAGCGACAUCAAACAUUGUGUAUCCAUUUGAUUUAUCUUUUUAAAAAUGUUUAUUUUUUUAUAUUAUGUGAAUUCACAACAGUUUGAGAUGUGCGUUGCACGUGCAUGCUUACUAGUCUUGUGUGGUUGCUCUGCUUGACUUCUUCCUCGUUGUGGGUGCUCAACAGGAGAAUCACGAGCAGCCGGUGCAACCGAGCGUCCGCCUGCUCUCAGCUUGGCUUCAGGUAUACAAUCACCCUUCUCUUCUUCCUGAUAUUUUCCUCUCCCUUUCUUCCAGUCCCCUACUCCCGCAGCUUCACAUCUUUGUUUGUGCAGGUUUGGUUCUCUUUGCCUACAAGGUGUUUGAUGAAAAUCCAAAAAGGCUGACAUGGGAGGAUUAAUCUAUGUAUGUCAUGUGAUUUCAUUCUUCUGUAAUUUAGUUCCAGUCAAAGAUAACAAGUUGAGUAGUCCGGCUAGCUUUUUGCGAUUUAGGUAUUGAAGGAGAUCAUUAUAUUUUACUUUUAUUUGCCUCAUGGAUUCUUAUUUAUAUUUAGGGCAUAACUUUAUUGUACAACAAUGACAGUGGGGAAGAUUAUCUCAUUUCUUUUGGAGGAUUUGGUUUAGUAGGCCAUUACGCAUGUUGGAAUGAGUAGCAAGUACAGAUACAAAAAUCUGAAGCUCCUACCAGAUAGGUCGAGUUAAAUGCUUUCUAAAUGCAAAUGAUCUCAUGAAAAAGGCAAUAUGUAAUCAUUUGUAUUGGUUCAGAUUAUUCAGAGUGGGUUACUGCUAAAGCAGAGGAUGGGUAGUCAAUAUUUACUUCUGUAUGUAAAUCCAUUUGCCUGUCAUUAUGUACAGUUACUGCUAAAUUGGAGGACAGGCAGUCAUUAUUUACUUAUUCAAAUGGAAAUCUAUUUGCCUGUUAUUAUGUGUAGGCAUAAAGUUCGAUCUUGGAUGCUUGGCAAAGCCUUACUAUGUUGUUUUCCUCUGUCACAGACUCCCAGAAACUAUAUGAUCCAUUACUAUGAGAAUAUUUGGCUAGCUCGUGGCUAUUGUUUGCGGAAUAAAGUCUUAUUGCUGUAAUAAAAAAGCCAUACUAUGUUGUUGUUCCAUUAUUCCAUUUUAAUGUGCUUGCCUUUUUUGGACUAGAUGUUGGACUACAGUGUACUGGGAGGUGAGGAGAUGAGUUUGAAGUACAUGUUUUCUUUCUAGGUAUACAAGAAGCUAAUGAGUUUGAACUUCAAUUUGUGAUCUACUUUACAAGAAAAAGUUUUCCCUCAUGAGUACAAAAUUUCUAUUUGUAGGAGCUUCAGAAGGGUUGCUCACCAACGGACUGUAAGAUUUCCUGGGUACUUGCAUAAUUUAGGAAGAAACUAAAUGCGCUAUUGCAGAUCAAAGGUGAGCUCAUCCUAUUUUCUUUCUUCAGUCUUAGCUGAAGAUUUAUCUCCGGUUUCCUUGCAUUUUGUCAUGCUGGUUCUUUGUGUAGAUGUGCCAGCUAGCUUACAAACCGUAUCAUCAUCUUUGUCUUUGAGUAGAACUAAACUGGGGAUUUGCUAUUUGCAUCUGAAGUGUCCUUUGAUGUCCUUUACUCUAUAGAAUUAUUGCCCUGAAACUGAUGAAAGGACUUUUGGAGAUAAAAUUAUUGAUUGUUAGGGCCUCGGUUUAUUAACUAUUCUAUAUUUUUAGAAACUGGAAGAGAAAUCAUAUGUUGUUUCUUCUUUGUGAUGAAACAGAUCAUGUGUAUGGUUUCGACUAAGACUGUAGUUUGAUCAUACAAGGCUUUAUGGAUUGUUGAUUCUAUUUCCAUGGUUUGAUCUAUCCGAGGUGUAGCCAAGAUCAGGUGAGAGGACAAUGUUUCAUUUGUUUCGACAGAAAACCCUAGACUUCAGCUCAAAGCCUGCCCCUAGCCCAGUGUUAAAAAAUUCAGUCAACCCGUAGCUAAAGUUGGAACCACGUAGAGCAGUGGCUACUCCGGAAACUCCUGUUCUGAUCACUUCCAGGUAAUUGGUUAGGAUUCAUAUGGUCUCUUUCCAGCUAUGACAGGUGGUAUACCGCAUACUGAUGAGGAUAGAUGAUUUAUGUUGCUGUACUAUUUUAGAUAGUGAUACUGAAGUGUUAUUCUACAGAUAGCUUUCGGUUGUUCUUUUGCAUUUUUCCUCUGCAAACAUAUAUAUUAAUGGACAAACAGUGCGUACAUGUUAGCCUUUUGUCCGCGAUAGCCGUAUUAGCAUGCCUAGCUGCCAAGUAUAAAUAGUAUGUGCGUCACUCAGAAAUAUAGCAUCCCGGUGGAAUAUGGAUGAUGUAAGAAUUGGGAAAUUGCUCUCAUAUUUGAUUUAUUGAUCUCCUAGAGUGUAGAGUGAAUCAUAUAUGUACUAGAGGUGCUAAUUCUGCUGCCUCCGUGGUCAAGUCCUCCCUUUCUUUAGGCUAGGCAGAGGUCUUAACUAUUGCAGUUUGUAUGUUCUGCAGUGGUCAAGUCCUCCCAUUUUUCGGGCUGGGAGGUCUUAGCUCUCGCAGUUUGUAUGAUCUGCAGCAUCCAUNNNNNNNNNNNNNNNNNNNNNNNNNNNNNNNNNNNNNNNNNNNNNNNNNNNNNNNNNNNNNNNNNNNNNNNNNNNNNNNNNNNNNNNNNNNNNNNNNNNNNNNNNNNNNNNNNNNNNNNNNNNNNNNNNNNNNNNNNNNNNNNNNNNNNNNNNNNNNNNNNNNNNNNNNNNNNNNNNNNNNNNNNNNNNNNNNNNNNNNNNNNNNNNNNNNNNNNNNNNNNNNNNNNNNNNNNNNNNNNNNNNNNNNNNNNNNNNCGGGCUAGGUAGAACCGCAGAAGUUUUAAGUGCACGUACCUAUGUGCCAUUGCACCUAUAAGCCUCGGUAAAAUAUGUCCAAAUCUAACAAAUAUUGCAGUUUAACCUCACCAUAAUACUAAUUAACAACGACUGUGAACUUCAAGGCAGACUUAUUACUACAGUUUUGGUACGCCAGAGAUUUUUUGUUGUGAUCUUUGCUUGGAAAGGGGAGAAGACCUACAUAUUAAAGACUCAGGACAAGGGCUGAUCUGCUGUGUUUCUAUGAUUAUGGAUUUCUAAAAUUCAUUUACCUAACAAUGGAACUAUGCAGUGCGAUCUUCUGUAGUUUACUAAACCUUACCAGCCCCCUUCGAGACGAUGUUCUGUCUCUUACAUUAAAAUCUAACAUAUAGUAAAAUGAGAAAAUUCCUGCCCCAAAACAAAAAAGUUUUGUUUGUAAAUUGCUACUUAUCAGGAUGACCAAUGAUGUACCUUUAAUUAUUCAUUUGUGCUAUGCACACAUGCACGCUGGGCCCUGGAACAUAAUUCUAUCUUUUAUGUACAAAAGAGAUCGCACCAAUAAUGCUCUAAAGGAGUACGAUUGGUAGCCGACUAACUUAUAUAAUACACACACAUUACUUUGUUUUUCUAAUGAGUGUAUGUGGAUGCAUAAAAAUAGUUGAGGAGCAAUUGCUAUUCUCUAUUUCUUUAGUGAGUAGUAUAUAUCAUUUUUGCCUACCUCUUGCCUAUUUUGAAUCGAUAGAUGGUAUGCUUUGGAGAGGGAUUAGAUAAGGCCUAUGAGUGAUGAGUCGUAAGCGUGAUAAGCAAGCCCUGCACUGCUAUUUACUAUUAACCGCCAACUGAAUUUCUGAUAAUGGUGUUUCAGGAAUAAUACACUCAAUCCAACUACUACCUUUGGUGUGCUUUUUGGAUGGACUAAUCUGAAGAUGCUGGCUAGCUUGCACCACCAUCAUAUAGUCUAGAAGCAAGGGCAAGGAUUAUAGGGAAAAUAAAGGUACAUUGCUCCCAAUAUAUUUUACUUUCUUGGUGAAGUUUAGUGCUUGCACAUGAAAGUAACACAUCAUUAUGACUACUACUGUCUUCUUUCAGGCAAUUCGCCGUCCGGAGGAAAUGCAUUUUUGUUACUCCCUCUGUUUGAACUGUUGUAGUAGGACUCAGACUUUCAAAGUUAUUAGGCAUGUGGACAUGUUUUUAUUUUAGUUUGUACAGUUUUGUGAUCUUUUGGCUUUAGGUUGGUGCUGCACAGAAAGUGCAGUAAACUCAGGUGAUGCAUGAAAAAAACUGCAGACCUAGCAUAGUUUUUGUAUUUGGAUUUUGUAAUUGUGUGAUGCCCUUAUGUUCAAAUGCUUGUUCUCCAA
RNAcentral lists this long non-coding RNA (8483 nucleotides) under Triticum aestivum (bread wheat). RNAcentral's name for it is "long non-coding RNA (TAES_LNC010430)". Lineage: Eukaryota; Viridiplantae; Streptophyta; Magnoliopsida; Poales; Poaceae. The record is from RNAcentral.